Molecule: ribosomal RNA, 322 nt
Filed under: uncultured eukaryote
Lineage: Eukaryota
Description: partial 18S ribosomal RNA
Rfam family: Eukaryotic small subunit ribosomal RNA
Source: RNAcentral
CCCUUAAAUGUUCUGGGCCGCACGCGUGCUACACUGAGUGGAUCAGCGGGUCAGGUUGCGCGAAAGCGUUUCCUAAUCUUUAAAUCCGCUCGUGAUGGGGAUUGACGGUUGCAAUUUUCUGUCAUGAACGAGGAAUACCUUGUAAGCGCGGGUCAUCAUCCCGCGCUGAAUACGUCCCUGCCCUUUGUACACACCGCCCGUCGCUCCUACCGAUUGAGUGGUCCGGUGAGGCUUUGGGAUCUGAGCGGAAAGAGCGUUUCGCUGUUUCUGCUCGGAAAACUCAGUCGAACCUUAUCAUUUAGAGGAAGGAGAAGUCGUAACA